Molecule: ribosomal RNA, 172 nt
Filed under: Epicoccum nigrum
Lineage: Eukaryota; Fungi; Ascomycota; Dothideomycetes; Pleosporales; Didymellaceae
Also listed under: 3 other names
Description: 5.8S ribosomal RNA
Rfam family: 5.8S ribosomal RNA (bases 3-156)
About the family: 5.8S ribosomal RNA (5.8S rRNA) is a component of the large subunit of the eukaryotic ribosome.
Source: RNAcentral
ACAACUUUCAACAACGGAUCUCUUGGUUCUGGCAUCGAUGAAGAACGCAGCGAAAUGCGAUAAGUAGUGUGAAUUGCAGAAUUCAGUGAAUCAUCGAAUCUUUGAACGCACAUUGCGCCCCUUGGUAUUCCAUGGGGCAUGCCUGUUCGAGCGUCAUUUGUACCUUCAAGCU